This 465-nucleotide ribosomal RNA is filed under the name uncultured bacterium. RNAcentral's name for it is "partial 16S ribosomal RNA". It matches the Rfam family "Bacterial small subunit ribosomal RNA", at positions 28 to 507 of the family's 1533-position model. The record is from RNAcentral.
GACGAACGCUGGCGGCGUGCUUAACACAUGCAAGUCGAACGGAAAGGCCCCUUCGGGGGUACUCGAGUGGCGAACAGGUGAGUAACACGUGAGUAACCUGCCCUUGACUUCGGGAUAACUUCAGGAAACUGGGGCUAAUACCGGAUAGGAAUCCUUGCUGCAUGGUGGGGGUUGGAAAGCUUCGGCGGUUUUGGAUGGACUCGCGGCUUAUCAGCUUGUUGGUGGGGUAGUGGCUUACCAAGGCUUUGACGGGUAGCCGGCCUGAGAGGGCGACCGGCCACAUUGGGACUGAGAUACGGCCCAGACUCCGACGGGAGGCAGCAGUGGGGAAGAUUGCACAAUGGGCGGAGGCCUGAUGCAGCAACGCCGCGUGCGGGAUGACGGCCUUCGGGUUGUAAACCGCUUUCAGCAGGGGCGAAGCUUGUGGUGACGGUACCUGCAGAAGAAGCACCGGCUAACUACGUG